Molecule: ribosomal RNA, 478 nt
Filed under: uncultured bacterium
Lineage: Bacteria
Description: partial 16S ribosomal RNA
Rfam family: Bacterial small subunit ribosomal RNA
Source: RNAcentral
GACGAACGCUGGCGGCGUGCUUAACACAUGCAAGCCGAACGGUAAGGCCCUUCGGGGUACACGAGUGGCGAACGGGUGAGUAACACGUGGGUGAUCUGCCCUGCACUUCGGGAUAAGCCUGGGAAACUGGGUCUAAUACCGGAUGGGACUCCGGACUGCAUGGUCGGGGGUGGAAAGCUUUUGCAGUGUGGGAUGGGCCCGCGGCCUAUCAGCUUGUUGGUGGGGUGAUGGCCUACCAAGGCGACGACGGGGAGCCGGCCGGAGAGGGUGACCGGCCACACUGGGACUGAGAUACGGCCCAGACUCCUACGGGAGGCAGCAGUGGGGAAUAUUGCACAAUGGGCGCAAGCCUGAUGCAGCGACGCUGCGUGAGGGAUGACGGCCUUCGGGUUGUAAACCUCUUUCAGCAUCGACGAAGCGAAAGUGACGGUAGGUGCAGAAGAAGGACCGGCCAACUACGUGCCAGCAGCCGCGGUAA